Molecule: ribosomal RNA, 701 nt
Filed under: uncultured archaeon
Lineage: Archaea
Description: bacterial SSU rRNA
Rfam family: Archaeal small subunit ribosomal RNA
Source: RNAcentral
AACCUAUGCAGGGGAAUAACCUCGGGAAACUGAGUAUAAUGCCCCAUAGUCCACUACGCCUGGAACGGUGAGUGGAUCAAAGCUCAGGCGGCAUAGGAUGGGCCUGCGGCGUAUCAGGUUGUAGGGGGUGUAAAGUACCCUCUAGCCAUCUACGCGUACGGGUGUUGGGAGACAUAGCCCGGAGAUGGAUUCUGAGACACGAAUCCAGACCCUACGGGGUGCAGCAGGCGCGAAAACUUGACAAUGCGAGCAAUCGUGAUCAGGGAACUCCAAGUGGCUGGGGUAAGACCCAGUCUUUUCAUAACUCUUCAAAGGUUGUAGAAUAAGGGGUGGGUAAGGACGGUGCCAGCCGCCGCGGUAAUACCGGCGCCUCAAGUGGUAGUCGCUUUUAUUGGGCCUAAAACGUCCGUAGCCUGUUUGGUAAAUCUGUGGGUAAAUCAAUCCGCUCAACGGAUUGAAUUCUGCAGAGACUGCCAGACUAGGGACCGGGAGAGGUGUGGGGUACUCGAGGGGUAGGGGUAAAAUCCUGUCAUCCUUCGAGGACCACCAGUUGCGAAGGCGCCACACUGGAACGGAUCCGACGGUCAGGGACGAAGCCUAGGGGCACGAACCGGAUUAGAUACCCGGGUAGUCCUAGGUGUAAACGCUGUGAACUUGGUGUCGGGGGUCCGCAAGGGGUCCCCGGUGCCGGAGUGAAGAUG